This 333-nucleotide unclassified non-coding RNA is filed under the name soil metagenome. Its description in RNAcentral is "partial contains 5.8S ribosomal RNA, internal transcribed spacer 2, and large subunit ribosomal RNA". The stretch from base 1 to 120 matches the Rfam family "5.8S ribosomal RNA", at positions 35 to 154 of the family's 154-position model. The record is from RNAcentral.
GAUGAAGAACGUAGCGAAAUGCGAUAAGUAAUGUGAAUUGCAGAAUUCAGUGAAUCAUCGAAUCUUUGAACGCACAUUGCGCCCGCCAGUAUUCUGGCGGGCAUGCCUGUUCGAGCGUCAUUUCAACCAUCAAGCCCCCGGCUUGUGUUGGGGACCUGCGGCUGCCGCAGGCCCUGAAAUGCAGUGGCGGGCUCGCUGUCACUCCGAGCGUAGUAGUUACAUCUCGCUCUGGGCGUGCUGCGGGUUCCGGCCGUUAAAAGCCUUAUUUACCCAAGGUUGACCUCGGAUCAGGUAGGAAGACCCGCUGAACUUAAGCAUAUCAAUAAGCGAGGA